UUGGCCAUAUCACAUUGAAACAUUGGUUCUCAUACAAUCAUUGAAGUUAAGCAACAUCAAGCCUGGUGAGUACCUAGAUGGGUGACUACUUGGGAAUACCAGGUGCUGUAAG
RNAcentral lists this ribosomal RNA (112 nucleotides) under Acanthosepion pharaonis. Lineage: Eukaryota; Metazoa; Mollusca; Cephalopoda; Sepiida; Sepiidae. The record is from RNAcentral.